CCGCGACCCGUGGCACCCGCUCAGCGACGGCAGUCGGACUCCGGGCACGGGGAGCCUGGCUGCCGCCGUGGAGAUUGCCUCCGGGCGCCAGGCCCUGGUGGCGGGCAAGCCGAACCCCUACAUGUUCGAGUGCAUCACCGAGAACUUCAGCCUGGACCCCGCACGCACGCUCAUGGCCUGAAGACGCUUCCGAGAGGCCAAGGCACUGGGCUGCAGGUGCACCAGGCAGCCUCCAAACGCCGGCUUGGCGCUCUUCUCCAGGUUCUAACCGCAGCCUCAUCUCAGGGCCAAGGGCGGCUCCGCUGUGCAGUAAGUUCGCUCUGCUGACAGGCACCAAGGAGGGGUGCAUUUGAAUAAAAUCCUACAUGAAAGUA
RNAcentral lists this long non-coding RNA (374 nucleotides) under Dasypus novemcinctus (nine-banded armadillo). Its description in RNAcentral is "lncRNA (ENSDNOG00000052641.1)". Lineage: Eukaryota; Metazoa; Chordata; Mammalia; Cingulata; Dasypodidae. The record is from RNAcentral.